This 248-nucleotide ribosomal RNA is filed under the name uncultured bacterium. RNAcentral's name for it is "partial 16S ribosomal RNA". It matches the Rfam family "Bacterial small subunit ribosomal RNA", at positions 524 to 774 of the family's 1533-position model. The record is from RNAcentral.
UACGAAGGGGGCUAGCGUUGCUCGGAAUUACUGGGCGUAAAGCGCACGUAGGCGGCUUUCUAAGUCGGGGGUGAAAUCCUGGAGCUCAACUCCAGAACUGCCUUCGAUACUGGAGCUUGAGUCGGGAGAGGUGAGUGGAACUGCGAGUGUAGAGGUGAAAUUCGUAGAUAUUCGCAAGAACACCAGUGGCGAAGGCGGCUCACUGGCCCGGUACUGACGCUGAGGUGCGAAAGCGUGGGGAGCAAACA